RNAcentral lists this ribosomal RNA (418 nucleotides) under uncultured bacterium. RNAcentral describes it as "bacterial SSU rRNA". It matches the Rfam family "Bacterial small subunit ribosomal RNA", at positions 1071 to 1498 of the family's 1533-position model. The record is from RNAcentral.
GACGUAGGGUUAAGUCCCGAAACGAGCGCAACCCCUGUCGUCAGUUGCCAGCGGAUAAUCCCGGGGACUCUGACGGGACUGCUGCUGAAUAGCCGGAGGAAGGAGGGGAUGACGUCAAGUCAUCAUGUCCCUUAUGCCCAGGGCGACACACAUGCUACAAUGGAAGGUACAGAGAGUUGCAAUACCGUAAGGUAGAGCUAAUCCCAAAAAGCCUUCCCUAGUUCGGAUUGAGGUCUGCAACUCGACCUCAUGAAGCCGGAAUCGCUAGUAAUCGCGGGUCAGCCAUACCGCGGUGAAUAUGUACUCGGGGAUUGUACACACCGCCCGUCACACCAACCGAGUGGGGGGUACCUGAAGUCGUUCUAUCAAAGGGCGCCGAAGGUAACUUCCGCAAGAGGGGUGAAGUCGUAACAAGGUA